This 479-nucleotide ribosomal RNA is filed under the name uncultured organism. RNAcentral describes it as "partial 16S ribosomal RNA". It matches the Rfam family "Bacterial small subunit ribosomal RNA", at positions 331 to 801 of the family's 1533-position model. The record is from RNAcentral.
GUACACUCCUGCGGGAGGCAGCAGUGGGGAAUAUUGCACAAUGGGCGCAAGCCUGAUGCAGCCAUGCCGCGUGUAUGAAGAAGGCCUUCGGGUUGUAAAGUACUUUCAGCGGGGAGGAAGGCGAUAAGGUUAAUAACCUUGUUGAUUGACGUUACCCGCAGAAGAAGCACCGGCUAACUCCGUGCCAGCAGCCGCGGUAAUACGGAGGGUGCAAGCGUUAAUCGGAAUUACUGGGCGUAAAGCGCACGCAGGCGGUCUGUCAAGUCGGAUGUGAAAUCCCCGGGCUCAACCUGGGAACUGCAUUCGAAACUGGCAGGCUAGAGUCUUGUAGAGGGGGGUAGAAUUCCAGGUGUAGCGGUGAAAUGCGUAGAGAUCUGGAGGAAUACCGGUGGCGAAGGCGGCCCCCUGGACAAAGACUGACGCUCAGGUGCGAAAGCGUGGGGAGCAAACAGGAUUAGAUACCCUUGUAGUCCCAUGAU